UACGGGGGGAGCAAGCGUUGUUCGGAUUUACUGGGCGUAAAGGGCGCGUAGGCGGCCAGCACAAGUCAGUUGUGAAAUCUCCGGGCUUAACUCGGAAAGGUCAACUGAUACUGUGCGGCUAGAGUGCAGAAGGGGCAACUGGAAUUCUCGGUGUAGCGGUGAAAUGCGUAGAUAUCUGGAGGAACACCGGUGGCGAAGGCGGCAUCCUGGACCAACACUGACACUGAUGAGCGAAAGCCAGGGGAGCAAACGGG
This 254-nucleotide ribosomal RNA is filed under the name uncultured bacterium. RNAcentral's name for it is "partial 16S ribosomal RNA". It matches the Rfam family "Bacterial small subunit ribosomal RNA", at positions 524 to 776 of the family's 1533-position model. The record is from RNAcentral.